UUUUUACUACGCAAUAAAUUAUUGUUUGAUUGACAUUAUUAAAUGAUAUUGGAAAAAUGGUGGAUGCAUGCACAUUAUGAUUUAUAGCCGAUGAUUUUCCUAUGUAUCAGAUUUUGAAGAUUUUAAUUUCAAUCUUCUAUGGAUUAUUGGACUACAUUUUCAAGGCGGGAAAAAUUUCAAUAUGGAUGCCAUUACAUUUGUAUGUCUUUAUGUGAGAAUUUUUGUGGCCGCGUGCAAUGCGGUUAGUAGAGUCAGUGUUUAUUACAAGUUUUUUUAAUGUUUUUUUAAAGAAUAAUAGCAUUAAUUAAAUUCAAUUUCAAUAAUCACACGUGAAAUUAGAGUCAGUGUUGUUUGUUGAUUUCAAUUUAAACGGGUGUUAAUCUUCUCUUUUUUUUUUAAUAAUCGUUUUCAAUUAUAAGUUAGAAUCAGUGCAUCAACAUAAUAAAAUGAUCAUCCAUCACGCGAAGAGAUUCUUCUCAGCUUUUACGAUGAUUUCUUGCUGUACGUAACUGUUUUGAACAAUGUUCUUCGCAUCUAAUGGUGAGUCGCAUGCAUUUUUGUUCCUCCAGUCACUCAAUCAUGUCGUAGGAUGAAAGAUCUGAAUCGACACGGGUGACUGGUUGUAUACGUAGAAUUUUGUACGAGCACAGUGACCAUGGGUAUUUAUUAUACCCGUGAGUAAUAACAAUUCUAUUUUUCGUGUUUUAUUUAUUAGAUCAGGAUAGGUUUUCUUGCACAUCGUGUUUUUAAAAAAUUAAUAAUUAAUUUUAUAUGUUUGCUAUAUAUAUACUUUAAUUUGUAAAAUUAAAUAAUUCAACAUAUGAAUAUUUGAAAAAUCAAUUAAUUAUAUAAAUAUACAUUUAUGAACAAAAUAUAUGAAUAUUUGAAUAAAUAAAAAAUAUUGAAAUUGAUUUUAAUUAAUUAAAUAUUGUAAUGAAGAAAUCAGAUCUCCUCUGAUUUCAUUAAAAAAAAU
Apis cerana (Asiatic honeybee) is the source of this 973-nucleotide long non-coding RNA. RefSeq lists it as uncharacterized. NCBI's taxonomy places the organism in Eukaryota, Metazoa, Arthropoda, Insecta, Hymenoptera, Apidae. The record is from RefSeq and is a predicted model, not a curated record.